AACAGUGAUUCCAGAAACCUAUUAGCUCUAAUGUAUCACGCAAAAAAAAGAGGUGGAAAAGAAGGAAAUACAGGCUAAAAUGAAAUAAUCCUCACGAAUAAGAUAGAACAUGACUUGGACGUAAGAAAUGUGAUAAUAAAAAAAGUGUCGACUGAAAACGUAUAUAUAUAAAGCAUCGAAGGUUGCAGUAGAGACGAGAGGAAUAAGGAUUCCGAUGCAGCAAUGAGAUCUCCAGGCUACUACGUAGGAUUCGUUUUCCUUCUUCUGGCACUUCCUCCAGUUAAAACUGGUUUAGGAGGAGGGGGGUUAGGAGGAAAAGGUGGAGGAGGCCUGGGACUUGGUCUGCUACUUGGUGGAUUAGCAGGAUUAGGUGGAGGGAAAGGUGGUGGUGGUGGAGGUGGAAUCAUUCCCAUUCCCCUACCCAUCCCCUUACCUAUUCCCAUUCCUAUAUCGUCCAGCUCAGGAGAACCUUCUUAUUCUGAACCGGUACACAUGCCUAUGUAUACCCAUAGUGGUUACGGUGGGGGUGGAUAUGGUUGGGGUGGAUUUGGAGGUGGUUUUCAUUAGUAACAUGGCGAUAAAGAUAUAACCUUGGACUAAAUAUGCACGAUCUUUGGUGACAACGACCUUAUGCCUAGCGUUACAGUGUAAGUAAACAUCCAGCACGUACGUGUACUAUACGUCAAUGUAACUCUUUCUGUGUGUUUUCAGAGAUGCUUUAUAAAGCAUGUUUAAUGAACAGUUCGUGAAUGUGGUAAUAUAACUUGAACAUAGAAACAUUGUUGAUGUGUGUAAUAAAAUUAGGAGAAGCCUAAUAACUUUUCACAUAUUUGAAUUAUGUUGUUUUUCAGUCAAUUUUCACAAACUAUUCAUUUGUAUGUACACACACAUAUCCUGAGGCCGAUAAUUUCAUUUUUUUCUGAUUUCUGUCGAACACAUUCUUAAAGGACUACUAUCAACACUGACCUUACUAAUGUGAGUCAGACAGAUUUUUAAAGGACUACUAUCAACACUGACCUUACUAAUAUCGGACUAAUGUGAGACAGUGAUCUCGCUAACAGUGUGGUAAAGUAAGUAUUGAAAUAAGCCUAUCGUAACAACAGUACCGUACUAACAAUAGUAGUAUUGUAACAACAGUACCGUACUAACAAUAGUAGUAUUGUAACAACAGUACCGUACUAACAAUAGUAGUAUUGUAACAACAGUACCGUACUAACAAUAGUAGUAUUGUAACAACAGUACCGUACUAACAAUAGUAGUAUUGUAACAACAGUACCGUACUAACAAUAGUAGUAUUCGUAACAACAGUACCGUACUAACAAUAGUAGUAUUGUAACAACAGUACCGUACUAACAAUAGUAGUAUUGUAACAACACUACCGUACUAACAAUAGUAUUUUAUUAGUGUAGUAUAGUAUUAGUGUUCGGUUCAUGUUUAGUUUUAGCUGCUUUCUCAUUACUCUUCUUAUUUAAACGUGACUUUGAAAUACAAUGAUAAUUAUUAUUAGUAUUCAGUUUGACGACGAUUUUUAAUUGCAACUUUGUGUAUUUUAUGUUUACCUUUUAUCAAGAUCUCUCUUUGCUUAUCAGAAG
RNAcentral lists this unclassified non-coding RNA (1592 nucleotides) under Limulus polyphemus (Atlantic horseshoe crab). Its description in RNAcentral is "glycine-rich protein 23-like, transcript variant X2". Lineage: Eukaryota; Metazoa; Arthropoda; Merostomata; Xiphosura; Limulidae. The record is from RNAcentral.